GACGAACGCUGGCGGCGUGCUUAACACAUGCAAGUCGAACGAUGAAGCCGGAGCUUGCUCUGGUGAAUUAGUGGCGAACGGGUGAGUAACACGUGAGUAACCUGCCCUUGACUCUGGGAUAACUGCGGGAAACUGUAGCUAAUACCGGAUACGACCCUCGGAGGCAUCUCCUGGGGGUGGAAAGAAUCUCGGUCAAGGAUGGACUCGCGACCUAUCAGCUAGUUGGUGAGGUAAAGGCUCACCAAGGCGACGACGGGUAGCCGGCCUGAGAGGGUGACCGGCCACACUGGGACUGAGACGCGGCCCAGACUCCUACGGGAGGCAGCAGUGGGGAAUAUUGCACAAUGGGCGCAAGCCUGAUGCAGCAACGCCGCGUGAGGGAUGACGGCCUUCGGGUUGUAAACCUCUUUUAGCAGGGAAGAAGCGAAAGUGACGGUACCUGCAGAAAAAGCACCGGCUAACUACGUGCCAGCCGCCGCAGUAA
RNAcentral lists this ribosomal RNA (484 nucleotides) under uncultured bacterium. RNAcentral's name for it is "partial 16S ribosomal RNA". It matches the Rfam family "Bacterial small subunit ribosomal RNA", at positions 28 to 523 of the family's 1533-position model. The record is from RNAcentral.